AGGUGUGAUUAUACCAGCACUAAUGCACUUGAUCGCAUCAGAACUUCACAGGCAAGCGUGCUUGGGUGAGAGUACAACUAGGAUGGGUGACCACCUGGGAAAUCCUCAUGUUGCACCUC
Molecule: ribosomal RNA, 119 nt
Filed under: Lupinus angustifolius (narrow-leaved blue lupine)
Lineage: Eukaryota; Viridiplantae; Streptophyta; Magnoliopsida; Fabales; Fabaceae
Source: RNAcentral